AGAGUUUGAUCAUGGCUCAGAGCGAACGCUGGCGGCAGGCUUAACACAUGCAAGUCGAACGGGCGUAGCAAUACGUCAGUGGCAGACGGGGUGAGUAACGCGUGGGAACAUACCUCUUGGUUCGGAACAACACAGGGAAACUUGUGCUAAUACCGGAUAAGCCCUUACGGGGAAAGAUUUAUCGCCGAGAGAUUGGCCCGCGUCUGAUUAGCUAGUUGGUAGGGUAAUGGCCUACCAAGGCGACGAUCAGUAGCUGGUCUGAGAGGAUGAUCAGCCACAUUGGGACUGAGACACGGCCCAAACUCCUACGGGAGGCAGCAGUGGGGAAUAUUGGACAAUGGGCGCAAGCCUGAUCCAGCCAUGCCGCGUGAGUGAUGAAGGCCCUAGGGUUGUAAAGCUCUUUUGUACGGGAAGAUAAUGACGGUACCGUAAGAAUAAGCCCCGGCUAACUUCGUGCCAGCAGCCGCGGUAAUACGAAGGGGGCUAGCGUUGCUCGGAAUCACUGGGCGUAAAGGGUGCGUAGGCGGGUUUUUAAGUCAGAGGUGAAAUCCUGGAGCUCAACUCCAGAACUGCCUUUGAUACUGAAAGUCUUGAGUAUGGGAGAGGUGAGUGGAACUGCGAGUGUAGAGGUGAAAUUCGUAGAUAUUCGCAAGAACACCAGUGGCGAAGGCGGCUCACUGGCCCAUAACUGACGCUGAGGCACGAAAGCGUGGGGAGCAAACAGGAUUAGAUACCCUAGUAGUCC
Molecule: ribosomal RNA, 745 nt
Filed under: uncultured bacterium
Lineage: Bacteria
Description: bacterial SSU rRNA
Rfam family: Bacterial small subunit ribosomal RNA
Source: RNAcentral